Molecule: ribosomal RNA, 92 nt
Filed under: Enterococcus faecium
Lineage: Bacteria; Bacillati; Bacillota; Bacilli; Lactobacillales; Enterococcaceae
Also listed under: 1 other name
Source: RNAcentral
UGUGGUGGCGAUAGCGAGAAGGAUACACCUGUAACCAUGCCGAACACAGAAGUUAAGCUUCUUAGCGCCGAUUGUAGUGAGGGGUUGCCCCU